AUGCACCCAUGGUGUGGUCCAGUCUGGAGCAGAACCUCUAGAAGCGGGAAGCCCAUCACGCAUGAGUUGUACCCGCUUGGGUUUCUUCGCCUGGAACAGAACAGAGUCCACACCAUGGGGAGGGCUUCCCCUGGACAGAAAAGCAGACCCUUCCUGCCCUUCCUUGUGGGGAGUCCCCUGGCUGCUCCCCAGAAGCAGAGAGAGCCCCUGCUUCUGGAAAGCCCCUCUGAGGCUUCUGUGCUUCUAUGCUGGUGGUGACCUCCGUGGUCAGCAGCCUCUCUGAACAGGUUGGCCGCAUGGCACUAGCCUGCUGUGGGAGCACUGAGGACUCAGUCCUCCUCCUGAGUGUGGUUGGGGGCUACCCAAGAUGCCUGUGGUCCAGGUCCUGUCAUUCCCACUGUCAGAGCAGGCCGGCACCGGCUGCUGGCCUCCUUGGUCAGGGCCCACGCCAGUCAGACUCUGACUCUGCAAUCUCUAAGUGCUCUGGGCUCCUUUGAAAGGGAGAACAUUAUAUUCGAUAUUAUUAUACAGUAAUGAGAAAGUGUUCUUGUGUUCUGCAGCUUUCUGGCUGAGUACUUUGUGCCCCAUGAGGAAAUAGGCUCUUAUUU
This 608-nucleotide long non-coding RNA is filed under the name Mustela putorius furo (domestic ferret). RNAcentral describes it as "lncRNA (ENSMPUG00000031206.1)". Lineage: Eukaryota; Metazoa; Chordata; Mammalia; Carnivora; Mustelidae. The record is from RNAcentral.